RNAcentral lists this ribosomal RNA (429 nucleotides) under uncultured beta proteobacterium. RNAcentral's name for it is "bacterial SSU rRNA". It matches the Rfam family "Bacterial small subunit ribosomal RNA", at positions 355 to 776 of the family's 1533-position model. Lineage: Bacteria; Pseudomonadati; Pseudomonadota; Betaproteobacteria. The record is from RNAcentral.
UGGGGAAUUUUGGACAAUGGGGGCAACCCUGAUCCAGCCAUGCCGCGUGUGUGAAGAAGGCCUUCGGGUUGUAAAGCACUUUCGGACGGAACGAAAUCGCACGGGUGAAUAUCCCGUGUGGAUGACGGUACUGUAAGAAGAAGCACCGGCUAACUACGUGCCAGCAGCCGCGGUAAUACGUAGGGUGCGAGCGUUAAUCGGAAUUACUGGGCGUAAAGCGUGCGCAGGCGGCUUCGCAAGUCAGACGUGAAAUCCCCGGGCUUAACCUGGGAAUGGCGUUUGAAACUACGGAGCUGGAGUGUGGCAGAGGGGGGUAGAAUUCCACGUGUAGCGGUGAAAUGCGUAGAUAUGUGGAGGAAUACCGAUGGCGAAGGCAGCCCCCUGGGCCAACACUGACGCUCAUGCACGAAAGCGUGGGGAGCAAACAGG